GCGGCCUAUCAGCUUGUUGGUGAGGUAAUGGCUCACCAAGGCGACGACGGGUAGCCGGCCUGAGAGGGUGACCGGCCACACUGGAACUGAGACACGGUCCAGACUCCUACGGGAGGCAGCAGUGGGGAAUAUUGCACAAUGGGCGAAAGCCUGAUGCAGCAACGCCGCGUGAGGGAUGAAGGCCUUCGGGUUGUAAACCUCUUUUAGUUGGGAAGAAGCGAAAGUGACGGUACCAACAGAAAAAGCACCGGCUAACUACGUGCCAGCAGCCGCGGUAAUACGUAGGGUGCAAGCGUUGUCCGGAAUUAUUGGGCGUAAAGAGCUCGUAGGCGGUUUGUCGCGUCUGCUGUGAAAAUCCGAGGCUCAACCUCGGACCUGCAGUGGGUACGGGCAGACUAGAGUGCGGUAGGGGAGACUGGAAUUCCU
RNAcentral lists this ribosomal RNA (426 nucleotides) under uncultured Actinomycetes bacterium. RNAcentral describes it as "bacterial SSU rRNA". It matches the Rfam family "Bacterial small subunit ribosomal RNA", at positions 233 to 671 of the family's 1533-position model. The record is from RNAcentral. Lineage: Bacteria; Bacillati; Actinomycetota; Actinomycetes.